RNAcentral lists this ribosomal RNA (468 nucleotides) under uncultured bacterium. RNAcentral describes it as "partial 16S ribosomal RNA". It matches the Rfam family "Bacterial small subunit ribosomal RNA", at positions 28 to 507 of the family's 1533-position model. The record is from RNAcentral.
GACGAACGCUGGCGGCGUGCUUAACACAUGCAAGUCGAACGGAAAGGCCCUGCUUUUGUGGGGUGCUCGAGUGGCGAACGGGUGAGUAACACGUGAGUAACCUGCCCUUGACUUUGGGAUAACUUCAGGAAACUGGGGCUAAUACCGGAUAGGAGCUCCUGCUGCAUGGUGGGGGUUGGAAAGUUUCGGCGGUUGGGGAUGGACUCGCGGCUUAUCAGCUUGUUGGUGGGGUAGUGGCUUACCAAGGCUUUGACGGGUAGCCGGCCUGAGAGGGUGACCGGCCACAUUGGGACUGAGAUAAGGCCCAGACUCCUACGGGAGGCAGCAGUGGGGAAUAUUGCACAAUGGGCGGAAGCCUGAUGCAGGAACGCCGCGUGCGGGAUGACGGCCUUCGGGUUGUAAACCGCUUUCGCCUGUGACGAAGCGUGAGUGACGGUAAUGGGUAAAGAAGCACCGGCUAACUACGUG